GAGUAGAGCAACAGGGAUUGCCCUAGUAACGGCGAGUGAAGCGGCAACAGCUCAAAUUUGAAAUCUGGCUCUCGGGCCCGAGUUGUAAUUUGUAGAGGAUACUUUUGAUGCGGUGCCUUCCGAGUUCCCUGGAACGGGACGCCAUAGAGGGUGAGAGCCCCGUCUGGUUGGAUGCCAAAUCUCUGUAAAGUUCCUUCAACGAGUCGAGUAGUUUGGGAAUGCUGCUCUAAAUGGGAGGUAUAUGUCUUCUAAAGCUAAAUACCGGCCAGAGACCGAUAGCGCACAAGUAGAGUGAUCGAAAGAUGAAAAGCACUUUGAAAAGAGAGUUAAAAAGUACGUGAAAUUGUUGAAAGGGAAGCGUUUAUGACCAGACUUGGGCUUGGUUAAUCAUCUGGGGUUCUCCCCAGUGCACUUUUCCAGUCCAGGCCAGCAUCAGUUUUCCCCGGGGGAUAAAGGCGGCGGGAAUGUGGCUCUCUUCGGGGAGUGUUAUAGCCCACCGUGUAAUACCCUGGGGGGGACUGAGGUUCGCGCAUCUGCAAGGAUGCUGGCGUAAUGGUCAUCAACGACCCGUCUUGAAACACGGACCAAGGAGUCGUCUUCGUAUGCGAGUGUUCGGGUGUCAAACCCCUACGCGUAAUGAAAGUGAACGCAGGUGAGAGCUUCGGCGCAUCAUCGACCGAUCCUGAUGUUCUCGGAUGGAUUUGAGUAAGAGCAUACGGGGCCGGACCCGAAAGAAGGUGAACUAUGCCUGUAUAGGGUGAAGCCAGAGGAAACUCUGGUGGAGGCUCGCAGCGGUUCUGACGUGCAAAUCGAUCGUCAAAUAUGGGCAUGGGGGCGAAAGACUAAUCGACGUUCAGG
RNAcentral lists this ribosomal RNA (858 nucleotides) under Fusarium oxysporum. Its description in RNAcentral is "partial 28S ribosomal RNA". It matches the Rfam family "Eukaryotic large subunit ribosomal RNA", at positions 56 to 947 of the family's 3401-position model. Lineage: Eukaryota; Fungi; Ascomycota; Sordariomycetes; Hypocreales; Nectriaceae. The record is from RNAcentral.